RNAcentral lists this ribosomal RNA (451 nucleotides) under uncultured bacterium. RNAcentral's name for it is "bacterial SSU rRNA". It matches the Rfam family "Bacterial small subunit ribosomal RNA", at positions 335 to 798 of the family's 1533-position model. The record is from RNAcentral.
ACUCCUACGGGAGGCAGCAGUGAGGAAUUUUGCGCAAUGGGCGAAAGCCUGACGCAGCGACGCCGCGUGGAGGAUGAAGUCUUUCGAGAUGUAAACUUCUGUCAGUAGGGAUGAUAAUGACAGUACCUACAGAGGAAGCACCGGCUAACUCCGUGCCAGCAGCCGCGGUAAUACGGAGGGUGCAAGCGUUGUUCGGUAAUUACGUGGGACGUAAAGCGUACGUAGGCGGCGAGUUAAGUCGAAUGUUAAAGCCCGGGGCUCAACCCCGUGGAUGCCUUCGAUACUGGCUUGCUAGAGGUGAUAGAGGAAAGUGGAAUUCCGAGUGUAGCGGUGAAAUGCGUAGAUAUUCGGAGGAACAUCAGUAGCGAAGGCGACUUUCUGGGUCACACCGUGACGCUGAGGUACGAAAGCGUGGGUAGCAAACAGGAUUAGAUACCCUGGUAGCGACUGA